GGAGAGUUGCGAGAGCGGUCGAAUCGGCACGACUGGAAAUCGUGUGUAGUGAAAACUACCCUGGGUUCGAAUCCCAGACUCUCCG
Molecule: transfer RNA, 85 nt
Filed under: Candidatus Krumholzibacteriia bacterium
Lineage: Bacteria; Candidatus Krumholzibacteriota; Candidatus Krumholzibacteriia
Description: tRNA-Ser
Rfam family: tRNA
About the family: Transfer RNA (tRNA) molecules are approximately 80 nucleotides in length. Their secondary structure includes four short double-helical elements and three loops (D, anti-codon, and T loops).
Source: RNAcentral